This 1372-nucleotide ribosomal RNA is filed under the name uncultured bacterium. Its description in RNAcentral is "bacterial SSU rRNA". It matches the Rfam family "Bacterial small subunit ribosomal RNA", at positions 28 to 1381 of the family's 1533-position model. The record is from RNAcentral.
GAUGAACGCUGGCGGCGUGCCUAAUACAUGCAAGUCGAGCGAACGGACGAGAAGCUUGCUUUUCUGAUGUUAGCGGCGGACGGGUGAGUAACACGUGGAUAACCUACCUAUAAGACUGGGAUAACUUCGGGAAACCGGAGCUAAUACCGGAUAAUAUUUUGAACCGCAUGGUUCAAAAGUGAAAGACGGUCUUGCUGUCACUUAUAGAUGGAUCCGCGCUGCAUUAGCUAGUUGGUAAGGUAACGGCUUACCAAGGCAACGAUGCAUAGCCGACCUGAGAGGGUGAUCGGCCACACUGGAACUGAGACACGGUCCAGACUCCUACGGGAGGCAGCAGUAGGGAAUCUUCCGCAAUGGGCGAAAGCCUGACGGAGCAACGCCGCGUGAGUGAUGAAGGUCUUCGGAUCGUAAAACUCUGUUAUUAGGGAAGAACAUAUGUGUAAGUAACUGUGCACAUCUUGACGGUACCUAAUCAGAAAGCCACGGCUAACUACGUGCCAGCAGCCGCGGUAAUACGUAGGUGGCAAGCGUUAUCCGGAAUUAUUGGGCGUAAAGCGCGCGUAGGCGGUUUUUUAAGUCUGAUGUGAAAGCCCACGGCUCAACCGUGGAGGGUCAUUGGAAACUGGAAAACUUGAGUGCAGAAGAGGAAAGUGGAAUUCCAUGUGUAGCGGUGAAAUGCGCAGAGAUAUGGAGGAACACCAGUGGCGAAGGCGACUUUCUGGUCUGUAACUGACGCUGAUGUGCGAAAGCGUGGGGAUCAAACAGGAUUAGAUACCCUGGUAGUCCACGCCGUAAACGAUGAGUGCUAAGUGUUAGGGGGUUUCCGCCCCUUAGUGCUGCAGCUAACGCAUUAAGCGCUCCGCCUGGGGAGUACGACCGCAAGGUUGAAACUCAAAGGAAUUGACGGGGACCCGCACAAGCGGUGGAGCAUGUGGUUUAAUUCGAAGCAACGCGAAGAACCUUACCAAAUCUUGACAUCCUUUGACAACUCUAGAGAUAGAGCCUUCCCCUUCGGGGGACAAAGUGACAGGUGGUGCAUGGUUGUCGUCAGCUCGUGUCGUGAGAUGUUGGGUUAAGUCCCGCAACGAGCGCAACCCUUAAGCUUAGUUGCCAUCAUUAAGUUGGGCACUCUAAGUUGACUGCCGGUGACAAACCGGAGGAAGGUGGGGAUGACGUCAAAUCAUCAUGCCCCUUAUGAUUUGGGCUACACACGUGCUACAAUGGACAAUACAAAGGGCAGCGAAACCGCGAGGUCAAGCAAAUCCCAUAAAGUUGUUCUCAGUUCGGAUUGUAGUCUGCAACUCGACUACAUGAAGCUGGAAUCGCUAGUAAUCGUAGAUCAGCAUGCUACGGUGAAUACGUUCCCGGGUCU